RNAcentral lists this long non-coding RNA (515 nucleotides) under Homo sapiens (human). Its description in RNAcentral is "HSALNT0067689". The record is from RNAcentral. Lineage: Eukaryota; Metazoa; Chordata; Mammalia; Primates; Hominidae.
GUGCAGGUGCGGUCCCACACGUGUUUUUCCUCUCCCCAGGCCCUCUCUCUAUCUGCCUAACCAGCGUCCGACUGCCUCCUCUAUCAAAGGUUCCUCUUCCUUUCAAAUAUCAGACAGCAAACAAAGAAUGUUGGGGCCACACAAGCAGAGAACACCAUGUCUUCAGAUCUCUUCACAGCCUUGUCCUCCAGAGUUUAGAAGUGGAGGGAAAAGAUUAAAGGCAAUCUUCUUGUUUUGCUAUUUGUCCUUGGACCUAAUCUGGACCUAAUUUGGACACACAGGCUGUAACUAUGUGUUUUUCUCCUUUGGUGUGGGGCACUGUGAGUUUAAGCACCAAUCACAUGCAUCCACAUCUAACUGCACUUCUGUUCCCAGAACGAAGGCCGUGAGUGUGAGUUGUCCAGGUCCUUGGCAACAAAGAAUUGAACAAAAUGCACAAAGUAACAAAGGAACAAAACAGAGGGAGGAAGCAUCAAAAGCGGAAAUUUAUUAAGACUGGAGAUGUUGGAAAAAAG